Molecule: small nuclear RNA, 260 nt
Filed under: Neotoma lepida (desert woodrat)
Lineage: Eukaryota; Metazoa; Chordata; Mammalia; Rodentia; Cricetidae
Description: 7SK RNA
Rfam family: 7SK RNA
About the family: 7SK was discovered as an abundant small nuclear RNA in the mid-70s but a possible function has only recently been suggested. Two independent studies have found that 7SK RNA binds the CDK9/cyclin T complex (known as elongation factor P-TEFb).
Source: Rfam by way of RNAcentral
GGGAGGGCGAUCUGGCUGUGACAUCUGUCAUCCCAUUGAUUGCUAGCGUUGAUUUGGCUGAUCUGGCUGGCUAGGCAGGUGUCCCUUUCCUCCCUCAUUACUCUAUGUGUUUCGCUCCCAAAGCUGUGUGCUCGGUCACGUGCUCUGAAGAUCCAGUGGCUUCUUAUGUGUGUGAUAGUCAGCACCACAAGAUUCCUGACAUUCAAGUCCAUGAGGAGAAUCCUAGCUCAAUAUUUCAUCUACAGUUGGUUUGUAUCACC